CGGCGGCCGUAACUAUAACGGUCCUAAGGUAGCGAAAUUCCUUGUCGGGUAAGUUCCGACCCGCACGAAAGGCGUAACGAUUUGGGCACUGUCUCAACGAGAGACCCGGUGAAAUCAUAGUACCUGUGAAGAUGCAGGUUACCCGCGACAGGACGGAAAGACCCCAUGGAGCUUUACUACAGCCUGAUAUUGAGGCUUUGUGCAUGAUGUACAGGAUAGGCGGGAGACGUCGAGCCCGGAGCGCCAGCUUCGGAGGAGUCACCCUUGGGAUACCGCCCUUCAUGCAUAGAGUCUCUAACUCGCAGCCGUGAUCCGGCUGGAGGACCGUGUCAGGCGGGUAGUUUGACUGGGGCGGUCGCCUCCUAAAGAGUAACGGAGGCGCCCAAAGGUUCCCUCAGAAUGGUUGGAAAUCAUUCGUAGAGCGCAAAGGCAGAAGGGAGCUUGACUGCGAGACCUACAAGUCGAGCAGGGACGAAAGUCGGGCUUAGUGAUCCGGUGGUUCCGCAUGGAAGGGCCAUCGCUCAACGGAUAAAAGCUACCCUGGGGAUAACAGGCUGAUCUCCCCCAAGAGUCCACAUCGACGGGGAGGUUUGGCACCUCGAUGUCGGCUCAUCGCAUCCUGGGGCUGGAGUAGGUCCCAAGGGUUGGGCUGUUCGCCCAUUAAAGCGGUACGCGAGCUGGGUUCAGAACGUCGUGAGACAGUUCGGUCCCUAUCCGUCGUGGGCGCAGGAAAUUUGAGGAGAGCUGUCCUUAGUACGAGAGGACCGGGAUGGACGCACCGCUGGUGUACCAGUUGUYYYGCCARRRGCAUMGCUGGGUAGCUACGUGCGGACGGGAUAAAUGCUGAAAGCAUCUAAGCAUGAAGCCCCCUCCAAGAUGAGAUUUCCCUUUGAGUAAUCAAGAAAGACCCCUCAGAGACGAUGAGGUAGAUAGGUCACGGGUGGAAGCAUGGCGACAUGUGGAGCUGAGUGAUACUAAUCGGUCGAGGCCUUGUUCUA
Molecule: ribosomal RNA, 998 nt
Filed under: Deinococcus sp. Leaf326
Lineage: Bacteria; Thermotogati; Deinococcota; Deinococci; Deinococcales; Deinococcaceae
Description: Bacterial large subunit ribosomal RNA
Rfam family: Bacterial large subunit ribosomal RNA
Source: Rfam by way of RNAcentral